RNAcentral lists this ribosomal RNA (468 nucleotides) under uncultured bacterium. RNAcentral describes it as "partial 16S ribosomal RNA". It matches the Rfam family "Bacterial small subunit ribosomal RNA", at positions 28 to 507 of the family's 1533-position model. The record is from RNAcentral.
GACGAACGCUGGCGGCGUGCUUAACACAUGCAAGUCGAACGGUAAGGCUUUGUUCUUGUGGGGUGCUCGAGUGGCGAAAGGGUGUGUAACACGUGAGUAUCCUGCCCUUGACUUUGGGAUAACUUCAGGAAACAGGGGCUAAUACCGGAUAGGAGCCCCUGCUGCACAGUGGGGGUUGGAAAGAUUCGGCGGUUGGGGAUGGACUCGCGGCUUAUCAGCUUGUUGGUGGGGUAGUGGCUUACCAAGGCUUUGACGGGUAGCCGGCCUGAGAGGGUGACCGGCCACAUUGGGACUGAGAUACGGCCCAGACUCCUACGGGAGGCAGCAGUGGGGAAUAUUGCACAAUGGGCGGAAGCCUGAUGCAGCAACGCCGCGUGCGGGAUGACGGCCUUCGGGUUGUAAACCUCUUUCGCCAGUGACGAAGCGUGAGUGACGGUAAUGGGUAAAGAAGCGCCGGCUAACUACGUG